Molecule: long non-coding RNA, 538 nt
Filed under: Lucilia cuprina (Australian sheep blowfly)
Lineage: Eukaryota; Metazoa; Arthropoda; Insecta; Diptera; Calliphoridae
Description: uncharacterized LOC124418623
Source: RNAcentral
CUUUGUAAUAAUAACACUCAAAUUCAAAGAUUACGCACCUUCUAAAUCCAAAAUUUUUAUUAAUGUUGAAAUGGUGGUUUUUUCUUUCGAAGAAAAUAUGGCGAUCUUAAGAAAAAACAAAGUACACAAGAAAAUUAAUUUGAGUGCUUCUAAUAAUCCGGCUCGAUUGGACCAAAUUUUUAUGUGUGCGCAAAAAAAAUAAAAAUAAAAAGAUAAGAAAGACUCAUAUACCUGUAAUUUGCAACGAAACACAGUACCACUACCAAUAAUAUAUAUAGUAUAUAUUAUGUCAAAUAUCACAUUAGAAACGCCAUAAAAUUAUAUAUUCAUGAGUAAUACGCAAUCGAUAUUAUUAUGAUAUGUAUAAUUAUUGCAGAAGGAAACUUUUACCAUAAACCUGUAUUACUUUUAUAAAAACUACAAGUUACAAUUGUUCUUCAUCCAAUCAUAUCAAAUUAAAUAAACAUCAAACAACAUUGCACAGUGGGGCAGAAUUGAAAUUUUUUUGGAAAUAAAUCUGGCAUUUCUAAACGGCUGA